CGUCCAUCUCUGUAUAUGGUUUUUUUUUUUUUUUUUCAUUAAAGUGUACAUUGUUAGCGGCUGUAAUUUGCUGCUUUUAGAACGAGCACGGAAUCGCACAAUGUUCAAAUACUUGAUGCGUCACGUAAACUAAUUCAUUUACCAUAAUCUUAAAAUAUCACAUUAGCUGCUGCUGUAGAAACCAAAUAUUCUCCUGAUUCCAUAAACUGUCCAAUGACUCUCCACCUAGUAUACUAUUGUUCUGCAUCCCCAUCUCUGUUUCCACCCACCUACCAGAUUCUUCUUCAGGGUAUAAACCCGAUCCAUUUUGAUAUUCUGUCACGUCUGACACUGGAGAAACCUGGGUGUCCAAUGACUCCGACGAGGUCCCUGAUGGUUCUGGCAUUAUCCACUCCUUCAUGGGGUCGGUUAUUUGCACGGAUUCACUAUUUGCAGGGAUAUCGAGGUGACUGUUGCAACUGGUGUAUGUGGUGGAAUGAUCCGUCGGAGACCCAGAUGUUGCCUGAAUUCUCUCGACUAACCGAGGGAUCCAAAUAUAGCGCAUGGCCUCUCUGAAUUUUUUGCUAUUAACAUCGCAUUUGAGCUGCUUUGCCUGCUUUUGGACUCUGGUUCUCCAGUAGUUCUUGAUCUCAUUGUCUGUUCUGCCAGGCAAGUACUGUGCUAUUUUCGACCACCUAUUGCCCCAACGAGAAUGGAGUUCCAGAAUCAAGAGCUGUUCUUGGAGAGUUAU
Molecule: unclassified non-coding RNA, 730 nt
Filed under: Hevea brasiliensis (rubber tree)
Lineage: Eukaryota; Viridiplantae; Streptophyta; Magnoliopsida; Malpighiales; Euphorbiaceae
Source: RNAcentral